UACGGGGGGAGCAAGCGUUGUUCGGAUUUACUGGGCGUAAAGGGCGCGUAGGCGGCACCGCAAGUCGACUGUGAAAUCUCCGGGCUUAACCCGGAAAGGUCAGCCGAUACUGCGGGGCUAGAGUGCAGAAGGGGCAACUGGAAUUCUCGGUGUAGCGGUGAAAUGCGUAGAUAUCGAGAGGAACACCUGCGGCGAAGGCGGGUUGCUGGGCUGACACUGACGCUGAUGUGCGAAAGCUAGGGGAGCGAACGGG
This 253-nucleotide ribosomal RNA is filed under the name uncultured bacterium. Its description in RNAcentral is "partial 16S ribosomal RNA". It matches the Rfam family "Bacterial small subunit ribosomal RNA", at positions 524 to 776 of the family's 1533-position model. The record is from RNAcentral.